UUCCUGGGCCAUUAGCUCAGGUGGUUAGAGCGCACCCCUGAUAAGGGUGAGGUCCCUGGUUCAAGUCCAGGAUGGCCCAUAUCUCUAUGUUGGGGGUAUAGCUCAGUUGGUAGAGCGCCUGCUUUGCAAGCAGGAUGUCAGCGGUUCGAGUCCGCUUACCUCCACUGAAUACCACCUCUUACAUAUAGUUGAAGUGGGAAAUUGUUUUGAGUCGUGUCCUAAUUUGCUCUGAGCGAAUCUAGCUUCCUAUUUUAUCCAAGAAAUAAGAUGCUGGACUCAUUGAAUUUUUUUUCAUUGUUUUCAGAGAACCUUGACAACUGCAUAGAUUAUUUUUAAAGACAAUAAGCAUCUUUAAUGAUGCAGAUUUAUUAUUUGUGCGAAUGCAUUAAAUAACAAUUCUAUUAAGCUGGUGCUUCAAUUAUUGAAGUUAUUGGUCAAGCUACAAAGGGCUCACGGAGGAUACCUAGGCACACAGAGGCGAUGAA
Molecule: transfer RNA, 485 nt
Filed under: uncultured cyanobacterium
Lineage: Bacteria; Bacillati; Cyanobacteriota
Description: partial contains 16S-23S ribosomal RNA intergenic spacer and 23S ribosomal RNA
Rfam family: tRNA (bases 92-164)
Source: RNAcentral